UUAGACAAGAAAGCAGUACUGACGAAGUAAAAUAGGAAAAGAGAGAACAAGAAAGCAGUAUUGAAGAAGUAAAAUAAGAAAAGAGAGAACAAUGACCUAUAGUAUACUAUGGGGAAAAUAUAUAGUGAGGGUUGACAUCAGCACCUAUUCGAUGAGCAACUGUACGAGGCGAAUAAUUAAUUUAAAUGGAAAAACAUUAGCAGAUGAUGGUACUCCAGCACAACAGUCACGCCUUUAGUUUUCCACCCCUGAGUUCGAUACCUGUCAUGCCCGCCUACAGAAAUUUUUUGAUGUUUUCAUCAGUGUUUUAAAAGGCGUUUUCGGGGCGAGCUCUGCGGCGGGGCGUACCAAAAAUGCCCCGGGGCGAUGGGUCGGGGCGAAAGUCUCCAAAGGCGUACGCCCGGGCGUUUGGGGUGAAUUUUUUUUGUUGGGGCGUAAGCCUAGAAAACUUUUUCAAACUAAAACGAAAUUUGUUAAAUAAAUCCUUAAUAUAAUGCUCAAAUUCUCAAAAGUCAACAUGUAAUUAUUCAAAUAUUUUAAAAAGGAACUGAAACAUUAAAUUUAAAAGUCAAGAUCUUUUUUUUAUUGCUAGAAUGCCUAAUAUAUAUUCUUUUCCAAUUAUUUAUCUUGUCUUCUACUAUUUCAAAAAAGUAACGAGCAGUCACUUGUACUUGUAAAUAGCAUAUAAUAGAUUAUUCUAAUUAGUUUUUUUGUGGGGGUGGAGUAUAUAUAUAUAUAUCACUUAUUUAUAAUGUUCUUCAAUUUUUUAUGCUAUUUCACCUAUUUAAAAGUAUUUAUUAUAAUUAUAUCAUUUUAUAAAAUACUAAAAAUUAAAACCCCACGGGACUUACGCCUCACUGAAGCAGACAUAAAACGCUCCGCCUUACGCCCUCGCCUUUUAAAACACUGAUUUUCAUUGACUUAAUUAGUUAACUAUGGUACCGAUUUUCUAAAUUAAUUGAUGUUUUAUCCAUAGAUACUUAUAACUUUCUCCCCUGAUUAAAUGGUUUAUAAUUACUACGAGCACUAAUAAACAAGGAGUACAAUUUUAUUCAAGAUAAUGUCCAGCAUAUAAAACCAAAAGGAAAAGUUUAAAAACAAAUUAACUUAAUUGAGGGGAGGUUCGAUCCCACGCGGCUAGCGUGGUGUAACUUCGACCAAACCAUCGGACUAAUCUCUCCAUUAUAUCUUUUAUGCUCGCUUCGUUCAAUUUAGGUGCAUCUAUUUGACUGAGCACGACAUUUAAGAAAUAGUGAAGACUUUUGAAACUUGUAAUUCAAAAUAAGUUUUGAAUAUUUGUGUAGUUGUAAAUCAUUUCACAAAGUAAAUCUAUUUCCAAAUAAAGAAAGAGAUCAUUCAUUUUGACACGAAUUAAAAAGGAAAUAGAUUCACAUAAAUUAAAAGAGAGAGUAUCAAAUAUUAAUAUAUAGUGAAUUUUUGGGAUUGAAGAUAUUCCUUGGAAUCAACGGUACAGAAUCCCUAAACGGUCAAAAAACCUCAAACAAUACAAAUCCUCAACCCUCAACGAAUUUGAAUUUGGACUCAAACACCAUCAACAUGCCGAAAAAGGGGAAGCAGAACCUGAAAAAGCCCUCUGUAAGAAAGCGGGCCCCGUCAAACGUAAAAAGCUGAAUAAGCUACUAACAGAGGAGGCGGGUCCCAUUGUUAAAACCAGCAGUUCAUACAUAUCCAGAGUUACUGACAGCGGUUCUGACGGCGAUUCCGAUGGCGGGGAUGAGUCUGUGAGUUUUAGUGACUUCUCUGACUCUGAGGAUCAACAAGGAGAUGCGGAAAAGACUGAUAGUCAAGAUGCAAAUUGCUCCGAUAGAGACCAUGCAAUUGGUGAUACGACAUUAUAGUCCGACGGUGAAAAGGUGUAUUCUUCUGAAACUCAUAACGAAGGUAGAGAUGGCGAGGAGGAUAGAGAUGUCCUUCAAGAUAUUGCCGCAGUGGUUGAUAUCAAUAAACCUUACAUUGAAGAACUUUUUAAGGUAAUUGACACUCCCAGUUACGGAUUUAGAACCCAUCUAAAUGAAGUAGAGCAUUUUAAACUAAAGAUCACCUAGAGAUGCUCGCUGGGUAGGGUUGACAAAUUCAAAGAAGCGUUAAAGUAAUUUAAUAUUUAUAAAGAUUUCGAGGAUAGUUCGUUUAGGAAAUUUCUUCAAAUGUCACAAGGUUGGACCUUCAAUGAACAGUUAGUUGGUAAUAUUAUUCUCCCUCGAUUAAUUUGCGCAAAGAAGAAUGAAUUGUGGAUACUUUUCCGUGGAAAGCCCCUCUAUUUUGGAUUGACAGAGUUUGUGCUUAUGACUGGGCUUAAAUGCGGUACAAAACCCAGUGAUGCUGAAAUUGACAAAAUCAUACACACUAGUGGCACUGAAAAACUCUUUGCAAAGGUAUGUCAUGGAAAAAGUAAAUUUAUAGGCGAGAAACUAGAAAAGAGGAUAGAUAGCACUUUUUUGAAUCGUGAUGUGAAGCUAAAGAUGAGUUUGUUGUGGUUUGUGCAUAAAAUCCUGAUGGUUGCCGACAAAAACAAUAAGGUCAACGAAAAUUGGGUUAGGAUGGCCGACAGUCUAGAAUUUUUCCAGCCUUACCCAUGGGGUCGUGAAAGCUUAUCCUGUUUAAUGAAGACUCUGCAAAGGGACAUUCACCGGGUAUAUCAUGAAUAGGUUCCGGACAAAUGUAAAUACAGAUACGUGCAGCUGUUUGGUUUCACAUAUGCAUUCAUGGCAUACAUUUCCUCUGUUUUAUCCAAUUCCAGCUUUUUCAUACUACAUAUAUAUAUAUAUAUAUAUUAUGAUAGGCAGUUCAAUUAUCAAAACAGAUGAAAUGGGCCUGCCGAGGAUGCUACAAUGGCAGCAUAGUAUAACACUUGCUCAGUGGCAAGAUUGAUCCAUUUGCUUAUGAUGAUGCAGAUGUAGGAAAAAUAAAUACUCGUGCAGUUUGGCAAGUUUUGUUUGAUCAUACGCUGCACUGCAUUUUAUAUAUUUAUUCACAUGCAGACUAAAUCCACUGUACAACCUUUCCUUGUGCCUACUCACCGCAAGUUGGAUCAGAAAUUCAUGAAGGAAUUUGUUGAAAUUGAGGAUGACGAUGUGGAUGAAAGAAUUGACAGACUAAAAGCGAAGUUGGAAGGGCAACAACAAUAAAUUGCGCUAUCGCUGGAAGGAUUGAUCAUGAACUACCGGCUACACCUCGUAAUGAUACAGGAAUGUAUGAAGCUGAUCAAGAUAGAGAAGGUGCAAGGGUUCGGGGGGGUGGCCAUGGGACAUGUGGUGUGGAAGUUGGUACAUACUGUGGUGGAGGAACAUGUCCGCGUUGUGGAUGUGACCCGGAGCUGCAAAAGAAUUUGUUAGCAAGGAUGGAGCAACUUGAACAGGCUAGCUUGUGGGACUGGAAGUAGACUUGGAGGGCCGACUAAUAUAAUUUAAAAUAGCCUCAAGAAGCCAAGUGACAGCAUCAAACACAGCAUCGAUGCACUAGUUUCCAGCGUUAUAGUUGACAGGAGGGAAGAAGGAAUAAGUGAGAUAUUAGGAGCCAGCAAGUUUACAGAAGAUGAUCUCGUUCAGAAUAUAAAAAUGACAGUGGAAAAUUAAAUAAAAAGGGCAUCGAGAAAAUGGAGGAGCCUUGGCAGGAAAUGUAAAAAUCUAUUAAAGAGAGCAUGCAACAUCAUGUUGACAACGAUCAGAAGUAUCAUCUAGUAAUGUAAUGUAGAAGUAAGAUUCCGUUGCAUGAUCCAUCCAAUCAUGUCAUGAAUCACUACGUUAUGUGUGGCUCAUCUAGUAAUGUAGUAGUAUGAGUCCACUUAUUGAUCCAUCGGACCUGUUGGUCAAUGCGUUGACCACCGACUGUAUGACUCCUCGGUGGUGGAUUAGUAUGACUCCACUUAUUCAUCCAUUUUGAAAUCAUGUCAUGAAUCGCUAUGUCAUGUGAUUCUCAUCUAGUAAUGUAAUAGAUUGAGUCCACUUACUAAUGCAUCCAACUUGUUGGUCAAUGCGUUGACACCGACUGUAUGACUCCUCAGUGAUGGUGUAGUAUGACUCCACUUAUUCAUUCAUUUUGAAAUCAUGUCAUGUGUCGCUAUAUUAUGUGUUGCUCAUCUAGUAAUCUAAUAGAUUGAGUCCACUUGCUAAUCCAUCCGGCUUGUUGGUCAAUGCGUUGACACCGACUAUAUGACUCCUCAGUGGUGGUGUAGUAUGACUCCACUUAUUCAUCCAUUUCGAAAUCAUGUCAUGCAUCGCUAUGUUGUGUGUUGCUUAUCUAGUAAUGUAAUACUAAUCCAUCCGACCGUGCAAUACAUUGACAGACUGUCAGACUCCUCCAAUCAUAUAGUAGUGUGAGUCCACUUAUUUAUCCAUCUCAUCAUGUCACACGUUUCCAUUGAAUGCGUGACUCGUCUAUUAGUACUGUGAUAUGAGUCCGCUUAUUGAUCCAUCCGAGCAUGUAAUAUAUGGACAUUGGCCAUAUUACUCCUUCAGUGAUGUAGAAGUAUGAGUCCAAUUAUAGUAUGUCUCAUCAUAUGUCGUGCGUGCAGUAGGAUAUGCAUGACUGAUCUAGAAGUGUAGCAGUACAAAUCCACUUAUCGAUCCAUCUAUUCUUGUAAUAGAACUUCAAUGAUAUGUAUUACUCGUCUAACAAUGCUGCAGUCUGAUUCCAUUACAUGAUCCAUCCGACCAUGUAAUACAUUGACACUGACUGUAUGACUCCUCUAGUAAUGUAGUAGUAUGUGUGUGUCCACUUAUUCAUCCAUCUUACCAUGUAAUAGAUUCACAUAUAACUCAUGUUAGUUACAUAAUAGUAUGCAUCCGACCGUGGAAUACAUUGACAAUAAUUUGUAUCUCAUAUAGUAAUGUAGUUGGCUAUAUGGUAAUCUAUGUAGUUUGAAAUAUGGUUAUGACACAACAUUUUAGUUACUAGACUAGUAACAUUCAUUUGGUGUGUAUUAAUUUGAUACUAUACGCUACAUGUUAUUUAAUGAUAUACACAAUACUAAUAUACUAAAGGUAUGUGUAUUAGUUACCGUACCUUUUCUAGAUGGAGUAUUUUAAUGAUUUUAUUAAAAUUAGUAUUUAGUGAUUGAUUUAACUGGCAGAACAGGUUUCCUAUGUGCACUAGAACCUGUAGUAGCCAGUAAAAAGUGACCUAAUUCCGGUGGAACUAUAAAUACUUAUGCCACUAUUUUUCAUUAGCACUCAUCGACCUGCCCAAAAUUUGCAUACUUAGGUGAGAAAAUGUUCUUCUUCUCUCAUGUUUCUUCAUGAUGUAAUCGUUCUUCUUAUCUUAUUACGCUUUGAUUGUCUCAACAAUGGCCGACACUACUGAAUCUUCCUGCAAUGGACCAGAUGCAAAGAUACCUAUGGACAGUCCUUUGCAUCGCAAAAUAAAGGAUCUUAAGGAUGAUAUUGCUUCUAUCAAGUACCAAGUGAUAGCUAUGGAGACCAGGCAAUCAAGAUCUUGGACGUGUCCAGAAGAUGACCGAGACUACCUUUAAUUAAUGUAUUGAAAGAUGUUGGACCCAGUUCUUAGUUUGCUGAUCAUGUUAAUUAAUUACCACUUUCUAUUUUGGUGUACCCUAUAAUUAUGUAAUCGCAUUCCCGAUGUAUUUCGAUUUAAUAUUAGAAUUCCAGAAA
Molecule: long non-coding RNA, 5627 nt
Organism: Lycium barbarum (goji berry)
Lineage: Eukaryota; Viridiplantae; Streptophyta; Magnoliopsida; Solanales; Solanaceae
Exons: 2
Source: RefSeq, a predicted model, not a curated record